CAGCCAGCCAGGCUCGCACGACUUACCCAUUCCGCGUCCCACGUGUCGGCCGUCGGCCACGCUGCACGCACGUCGCCCUCUACUCGUCUCUCCUCCCUUCUUUUCCUUCUCCACUUCACCUCCUCCUCCUUUUUCUCGAAGCAGAGCCACCUCGCCUCGCCUCGCCUCGCUCCCGCUGCCCUCAAAUCCCCGAUCUCCCCGACCCGCAUCCACAGUUCCACACCCACCUCGUGCUCGUCGCACCGCCACCCUCUCGAGCCUCGCCGCCGCGUGAUUCGCCGGCCGCGACGGCCACCAAGAUCUCCGCCGACCGCCGCCGUCACCCGACAAGCCCAGGUCAUAUUCCAGAUGGGGAAAGAUAAACAAUGCGAAACUGUGGACGCGGUCGGGAUGGUGCCAAUGGAGGAAGAGAAGAAGUCCAAGGAGGAGAUACAUCUCAAGAUUAAGAGCAAGGACAAGUCUUCAGGUGAUGAGGAUGAGAAGAAGGAGAUUGAGAUAGAAGUCAAAGCCAAGAUUGUGGACAAGGAAGAGGUGAAGCUUGAUUCAGAUGAUGGCGCAAAGUCCGCGGUAAAAAGUAAGGACUCAAAGAAAGACAAGGAAAAUAAAAAAUCAGACAAGAAGGACGAUGAACAUGACGAUGAGGAUGAAGAGGGAAAGAAGAAAGAAAAGGAGAUGAAAGAAAAGAAGAAAGACAAGAGUGAUAAGAAGGAAGAAGGCAAGAAGAAAAAGGAUGGUGAUGAGGAGGAAGGUAAGAAGAAAGACAAGGAUGGCGAUGAGAAAGAAGGCAAGAAAGAGAAGAAGAAAGACAAGGACGGUGAUGAGGAGGAAGAAGGUAAGAAGAAAGAGAAGAAGAAGAAAGACAAGGGUGACAAGGAGAAGACGAAUGAUCCCGCGAAGCUUAAGGCGAAACUGGAGAAGAUUGACACCAAGAUACAAGACCUUCAAGCUAAGAAGGAAGACAUCCUGAGGCAGCUGAAGGAGCAGCUGAAAGAGGAGCUGGAAGGAGGCAAGUCCAAGAAUGCCAUUGAAGAGAAGCCUGCACAGACAUUGGAAAAGGGCAUCGAGCACAACAAGCCCAUUGAGGAGAAGCCCGCUGAGACAGUGGAAGGGAGCAGGGAGUGCAAGAACAAUGAAAAAGAAGAAACUCAUGUUGCUGCAGCCUGA
This 1164-nucleotide long non-coding RNA is filed under the name Oryza sativa Indica Group (long-grained rice). RNAcentral describes it as "lncRNA OsMH63_07G003930". The record is from RNAcentral. Lineage: Eukaryota; Viridiplantae; Streptophyta; Magnoliopsida; Poales; Poaceae.